RNAcentral lists this long non-coding RNA (1028 nucleotides) under Diabrotica virgifera virgifera (western corn rootworm). RNAcentral's name for it is "uncharacterized LOC126890718". The record is from RNAcentral. Lineage: Eukaryota; Metazoa; Arthropoda; Insecta; Coleoptera; Chrysomelidae.
AGAGAUUAAAUGUCCAGCAAACGACGGCAAUGUUGCCAGAUUCCUUUUAGCGGGAAUUUUAAAAUUUUAUAGCAGUUUGGUUUUAAAUUUGACAGUUCUGUUUUCUCAAGUCAAAAAUCUUAACCUUACUUUUACAAGUGAUUAAGAUUAUUAUUAUUUUAUUUACACGUAAAUUGAAACAAUAAAUAUUGUGCUUUGUCAUAAUUUAAAACUCAUUAUGUUGAAGUAUUUUCCAGUUGAUAAAAUUGCAAUUCAAAAACUUUUAGAUUUGCACUGUAUGGAUGGCACAGGAAGAGAACAGAGAACAAGAGUACAAGAACAUGAAACAUCUUAUUAUGAAUGUAUAUGUAUGUGAUCCUCAAAAAAUUAUUUUUCAAAACAAGAUAGAGAAAGAGCUUUAAAAUCCCAAGGAUCCUGCAAAAUGUUUAUUUGGCGUACUAGUCGAAUAAUAGUAUCUAAAAAUAUUGAAACUGUUUUAAAACACAUUAUAGGCAUGAGGAUGAUAUAGAGCACUUACAUAAAUACCAAUAUCAGAUAAAUAUCUCUUCAAAGUUUAUUUUGAGACUUUCUUCAAAAAUUAAACUUCAGACUGUUCAGGAUAGCAUAAUAGCAUAGGAGGCGAAUUAAAAAGAAUUAAUUUACUUACAAGAAAAGAUAUCACAAACAUUAAACUCUCUUAUGGCAUUGAUUUGAAAGAUGGGUAUAUGUACAAGGAUGAUGCAACCAGUGUUUAUUUUUGGGUUGAAUGCUUACAGACUCAUGUCCAAUAUUAUUUUACAAACAACAGGGCAUACUAAUGGAUAUUCAUUCUGAAUUUAACAUUUAUGAUUUUUGUCUUAUUUUCCUUAAUACUGUGCCAAAAGGAAAUGUUAAUUAAGUUUGGCAAAUCCUUUAUCGCAAUCGAUGGAACUCAUGGGCUCAAUUCCUAUGACUUUGAACUUAUGACAGUAUUAGUAAAAGAUGAAUUUGGGAAUGGAUUUUGUACUGCUUUCUUAUUUUCAAAUAGAAAAGAUACCUACUUUAAUUUA